AGGGUCAUACAUAAGUUACUGUAAUUUUGCAGCUGCUUUCUAAUACCUCAUAAUCAUUAAGAAGUGGAGGAGUAACAAUACUGAUGAAAGCAAGUAUCAGAUCCUAAAAGAUUAAUUAAAAACUCUAUUAUUUAACACUCUCAAUUUAACAGGCCUGGACUGACCUUUCCUCCUCAGUUAAGAACAAAAACCCCAGAGCAAACAAAAUAACAACCCCACACACCUGCUUUUUUUUGUGGUAGCUCACCUGUUUGUCUGAUAGCUCACCUGAAUCAGGUGUUUUUUACUCAAUAAAAGAGCUGCAAGCAGGGUAAUCAGUGGCUCUGUGUCAAUGUGCAGCAGCUGAGGAUCUGGUCUGAAAAGCAAUCAACAUCCUUCUUUUUGCUGUCUUGCAAAGUACCUGCGGCAGCUGCUCUGCAGGUCCCCUGCUGUGCAAAUCGCCCUUCACAGAGGAAGAUCUUCCUGUCAGUGACUGACGAGAGGUGCCAGGAGCAGGCUAGGAGACUUUUAAAACCCUCGACUUGGCAAAUCAGCAGCGCUAUGAAAAACUAUCACUUUGUUACUUUGGGUCUUUUGAGGAGAAGACUUCAUAGACUUGAAAGUUUCCUGUUUAUGAAAAGCCUAAAUGUAAAAGAAGAGAUCUGGCGAUCAGCCCCAUAUCUAACUGAUCACAAGAAUAAGCAUUUCUAUGGCAUUCCUGCUACGAGACCUCACUGGUAACAUUUUUCCUUGAACUCUAUAUCCUGAAAAUAACACAGUGCAUCUCUGGCAGUCAGUUUUGCUGCGUAGCUGUGAAAAUCAGACCUUCAUUUUCAUCAGUGUCAAGGAUCUCUUGAUAUGCCCUGCAAGCUUUGACAAAUGAAGCAGAGCUAAGUACCGAGUGAAAACUUGUGUCUUCUGAGGUGGCCAUAAAAGAGAAUCAGUAUUUCUUCCGUCACCUUCCAGUUUGGCGAAAAGCCCUCUUUAAUAUAUAUAUAUAUAUAUAUAUAUAUAUAUAUAAAAUUUCAACAGUUUAAAGUUUUCAGUUUCAGUCCUUGGAGCCUACAAAUGUCAAAGUCACUGCUCUACAAGCAGUCACCUUUAGAAUCUCUGAGAAAUCCUUCUCCUCUGGAGCUGGUUGGAUCAGCUUGUGUUGCUGAAACUCUGGUGUGAGUCUCUGGCUCUUCUGGCAGGUUGAUGUGAAACUGAUCCUUAGCUUUGAGAUUUGUAAAAAUAGGCCCAAAAUGUGUCCCGCUGUUCUGGAGACCAUGCUGAUUCUUUAGUAAAAUGCAUGAAAUGGACAGUUUGCACGUGAGAACAUAAAAGGUUUGUUUAGAACAUAAGGAUUGCUGUUUCUCCGUAGGUGUUUUGCACAAAGGAAAGCUGCAAGGGUAGCAUUUGUGAGAAGGAGAUAAUGAGCACAGAACCAUGCAUCUUCCCCAGCUGAUAAGUCAUCCAGUGAACGUGCUCAUGAAGUGAACUGAAUUCAAACAUGGGUUUAUGGUGAUGCUAAUUAGCACACUGUUGUUUGGUUUUUUUCCUCACAAGAUAACAAUAAUUCAGACAGAAUCAAAACCAAAACCAGCUUUUGUUGUUUUUGUUUUGUUUUGUUUUUUCUUUUUCUGGUGGUUAAACUUGUAAUUAUGUUUGUGUUAUUACAAAUUGUGCUAUUUAAUGGAAGGAAUGUAACCUUAGGAGCUUGUGUGGUUGUGACUUUGGAGGUAGAGGCCAAAAUCAGGGCUGGCGUUGGCUGCUGUUCAUUUGGCUCAGCCCAAUGAGGGUAAUGAGACAGAAGCUGCCCUGAGGGGUCUGUCUGUUCCUGCAUCUUCCCUUUCCCCUGGGCUACUUCCCUGGCUUAAUCCCUCCCCUAUCCAGCCUAGAAACUCAUUUUCUUCUUCUUCUUGAGGAUUCGGUAGACCCUUCAUAUUUAAUAUUGGUAUGAAAGGGGAAAUAGAGCCCCAGGAGAAAGAUCAGAGUUUUCUCUUCUGUUGAGGCAUCAGAGUCAUUCUUCCCUUAAUGAAGAGGAACAGCGGGAUGGAUAAAAAUCAAUGACUUAAAAAAAUAAAUUGGAUUUUUAAUUUAGGCUUAA
This 2068-nucleotide long non-coding RNA is filed under the name Coturnix japonica (Japanese quail). RNAcentral describes it as "lncRNA (ENSCJPG00005014350.1)". Lineage: Eukaryota; Metazoa; Chordata; Aves; Galliformes; Phasianidae. The record is from RNAcentral.